Molecule: ribosomal RNA, 253 nt
Filed under: uncultured bacterium
Lineage: Bacteria
Description: partial 16S ribosomal RNA
Rfam family: Bacterial small subunit ribosomal RNA
Source: RNAcentral
UACGUAGGGCGCAAGCGUUGUCCGGAAUUAUUGGGCGUAAAGAGCUCGUAGGCGGCUUGUCACGUCGGAUGUGAAAGCCCGGGGCUUAACCCCGGGUCUGCAUUCGAUACGGGCAGGCUAGAGUUCGGUAGGGGAGAUCGGAAUUCCUGGUGUAGCGGUGAAAUGCGCAGAUAUCAGGAGGAACACCGGUGGCGAAGGCGGUUCUCUGGGCCUUACCUGACGCUGAGGAGCGAAAGCGUGGGGAGCGAACAGG